Long non-coding RNA from Peromyscus eremicus (cactus mouse), 591 nucleotides. RefSeq lists it as uncharacterized. The transcript has 3 exons. NCBI's taxonomy places the organism in Eukaryota, Metazoa, Chordata, Mammalia, Rodentia, Cricetidae. The record is from RefSeq and is a predicted model, not a curated record.
CUCACCUAGAUUGCUGAUAAAUGCUGGACACCUCCUCUGGUAACCUUUAUGUGGCUUCUUCUGUUGAUCUGAUGAUACCUUUAACUGGACAGGCUCACCUUCCUGCAGAGGAGAUAGAAGUGAUAAUGAAGAGUAUCCAGUGGGUGGAAGUUCACAAGGCUCACAAGAGCAGGGCCAACAGAAAUGAUGCAACUUGAACAGCUGCUGCAAGCUCCUGUGUCCAGGAUUUCCCCACAAUGAUGAGCUUUAUCCAAAAAUGGUACAGAGGCAAAAGAAGUGGAUGUGAAGCCUGAAGAAUAAUCUUGAGGUCUCAAAAUGGGAUGGACACAGUACUCAUCAAGGUGUUGGCAGCAGCCUACACUGACUAAUUUUAUGGUCCCCACACUUGUCUUUGCGACCUUGAAGAAUAGACCAUACAUGGAAUUGGAAUGAGAAUGUCUCAUGGUUUGUAAAAAUUGGGCCAUGGGGCAGAUGCUUGCUGUGGGAUGUUCUGUAUGGCAAAUGUGUUGCUGAUUGGUCAAUAAAACACUGAUUGGCCGUUGGCUAGGCAGGAAGUAUAGGCGGGACAAGGAGGAGAAUAAAGCUUGGAAG